RNAcentral lists this long non-coding RNA (487 nucleotides) under Numida meleagris (helmeted guineafowl). RNAcentral describes it as "lncRNA (ENSNMEG00000002941.1)". Lineage: Eukaryota; Metazoa; Chordata; Aves; Galliformes; Numididae. The record is from RNAcentral.
GACCCAUACUGGUCUGAGGGCUCUAUACUGGUCCCAAGUGGUCUAUACUGGUCCUGGGUGAUCCAUACUGGUCCUUAGGGCUCUGUACUGGUCCUGAGCGACCUAUACUGGUCGUGACAGCUCUGUACUGGUCCCAGGUGACCUAUACUGGUCCUGGGAGGCUUAUACUGGUCCUGGGUGACCCAUACUGGUCCUGAGGGCUCUAUACUGGUCCCAGGUGACCUAUACUGAUCCCAAGACCCUUAUACUGGUCCUGAGAACCCUCUACUGGUCCUGAGUGACCCAUACUGGUCCUGAGGACUCUGUACUGGUCCCAGGAGCCUUAUACUGGUCCUGGGUGACCCAUACUGGUCUGAGGGCUCUGUACUGGUCCUGAGGGACCUAUACUGGUCAUGACAGCUCUAUACUGGUCCCAGGUGACCUAUACUGGUCCUGGGAGGCUCUAUACUGGUCCUGAGAACUCUCUACUGGUCCUGAGGGCUCUGUA